This 259-nucleotide ribosomal RNA is filed under the name uncultured bacterium. RNAcentral's name for it is "partial 16S ribosomal RNA". It matches the Rfam family "Bacterial small subunit ribosomal RNA", at positions 793 to 1055 of the family's 1533-position model. The record is from RNAcentral.
GUCCAUGCCGUAACGUUGGCACUAGGUGUGGGUCCAUUCCACGGAUUCCGCGCAGUAGCAAACGCAUUAAGUGCCCCGCCUGGGAGUACGGCCGCAAGGCUAAACUCAAAGGAAUUGACGGGGCCCGGCACAAGCGGCGGAGCAUGCGGAUUAAUUCGAUGCAACGCGAAGAACCUUACCAAGGCUUGACAUACUUGAGAAGCCACCAGAGAUGGUGGUCUCUUUGGACACUCAUGUACAGGUGGUGCAUGGUUGUCGU